CCGUGUCACCCUGUGUUAAGAAGCUUACCCGCGGCAGGAUGGAAUGGAUGAGACGAUAUCCGCAUGCGUAUAAGCAGUCAUAGACUCGUAGCUAAGAUCGACUGAUAAAUACUAUGUCAACAUGAAUAAUUGCCAAAAACAUCAAUUAUCUAUUAUAGUAACCAAAAAAUUAUGAGAUAGAAAGCUAAUGAGGUGAAAAAGGCAAGAAAAAAAGGUUUGAGGUAGUAAAUGCAGUUUCCAUUGACAUUGGUAAUGAUUGUUGUUUCAAAUGGGGUCCUUUUCUUAGCUGUCGUUCACAAAAGCACUCUCACUAUUGUCUCUGCCACUAGCAAAAUAUUGUCUUCAAAGUCAUUUUCCUUACCUUUAUUAUUACACUGCAACAUUAGUUUUUAGAUUUACAUAUUUGAUUGGUAGGAGAACCAGGGCCUCACAUAAGUGUACAAUAACAUUAACUUUAGUUGUCUUGGAACAUCCAUAAAAAGAGGCACUGACAAAUUGAACCGAUUUCUUACUUAUUUAUCAAAUAGAAAGAUUAAAUUCGGCCUUAAACUAUGCAAACAUUUGAUACUGGACGUGUUUUAAAACUCGUAGUCUCGUACUUUAAAAAACUCGGUUAAAACCAAACUAAAACAAAUAAACAACUACAAUUAUCAAACAUGGCACAUGUAGUUUUAAACUGUUUUUCUUGUUUUAUAUAAACAGUCGUCCACAUUUGAGUAAACCACCACAAAGAUACGAAGACCAUCAUUACGGUGAGUUCUUUAACUUUAUCUCUUAACAUUGUUUAAGAUUAAAAGUUUGGUUUUUGUAAGUUAAGAGUCAAAUCUUAGCUUUUAACACUCUCAAAAGCUCUUAGCUAAUAGUCAAAUCUUAGUAUUUUAAUCUGUUUUAAUUUAUUUUUAAUGUUUAAUUCUAAGAUAAUAAACUAAGAACCAUCUAAGAUACCACCAAUAAUGGUGUUUAGAUAACUGAAGACAACUAAAUCUAAUUGCAAUUACUAAAUGAUUAAUUAAGAAUCUUACCUUGUAAGAGUUUUAAGAUUCGUUUCUCAGUAUCAUCAUGUCAGUUCUCGAUCCAAUGAACCUUUUAAAUACUCUCUCUGUUCCUUGAAGUUUGAUGUUCUAGUGUUUUGAAUUUGUUCCACAAAGAUUGAUUUUCUAU
RNAcentral lists this long non-coding RNA (1161 nucleotides) under Arabidopsis lyrata. RNAcentral's name for it is "long non-coding RNA (ALYR_LNC002568)". Lineage: Eukaryota; Viridiplantae; Streptophyta; Magnoliopsida; Brassicales; Brassicaceae. The record is from RNAcentral.